This is a long non-coding RNA of Prionailurus viverrinus (fishing cat), 2288 nucleotides long. RefSeq lists it as uncharacterized. The transcript is spliced from 2 exons. Lineage: Eukaryota; Metazoa; Chordata; Mammalia; Carnivora; Felidae. The record is from RefSeq and is a predicted model, not a curated record.
GAGCAUCCCAUGGCAGCGCUCGCGGUUUGUAAAUUGUCACCGGCUGCGUUGUAAAACAUCACGGUGUCGGAAAGCACAGUUUCUGUUAAUGGAGAGACAGAGAGACAGAGAGACAGAGGACAGAUCCCGGGAACGGAAUCGGCAGACUGGUGACCGUAGCAAGGAAAUCCCCCCACCACCCAAACUUAGGGCAAACAAGCCGGCUGCUCUCCCCCGGUCACUUCCUCCCUCCCGGUCCGGGAAAAGCCCACCCUUGCUGCACCAGGACCGACCCAGCUCGGGGAAGAACAAGCCGCUUUGACAGUGGUGAGCCGAACUCUGGUUAGCGCUCUCCCGCCAAACGCAAGCCCCCGUCCCCGCACACAGGACAGCACUGCCCUGUGCGUGUCCCUGUGCCCGUUCUGGCCUUUGGGAGCUCGCACGUGGAGGGUUUGGUCCUCCCCGCCAUCGCGUCUUCGUGGGCGCUCGCUGCGGGAUGCCCUCCCCCCGCCUGGCACCCUCGCCUUAUCCCUCUGGGCACACUGACCGUGCCCUAAUCCCGGGCUGCCUCCUGGGUGACUUCCUGGGCACAGAGACCAUGUGACUCCCAGAUGUCCUGCUCUCUCCAUGUUGCGUGCUCGUGCGUGCACCUGCCAUUGAGUGCCUCCUGGCUCUUGGGACCGAACAGUCAGGUCUCCGUCCCCUCCUGGAUCUUGGAGGACUCCGAUGGAAUGACCCACCAGCAGACACACGGCCUCCCUCCCAGCAGAGCCAGAAUGAGGUGACUGCGCUGUGGUGAGCUCCCCGCCAGGCUCCAAGUUCCCCAAAGCCGCCGGCCCCGCGCGUGUUCCUUCCCUGGUCCUCGCCCCGUGCCACGCACGGCGCCCUCACCUGCGAGAUGCUCCGGAAAUGCACGCUAGCAGCUGAAGGAAUGAAUAAACCCCCCAAAUGCAAUAAACUUAAAAAUCUCACGUCUCAGGUGUUCUAACUCUCCCUGGCGGCCGGCGAUCGUCGGCCAGGGCGCAAGGAAAAUGGUACGUGUCUGGGUCAGAAGACCUCGAGGCUUCGGCCAAGACGCGGUAGGGCCGUCAUGGCCACUGGGGUGCCAAGUGGAAUAAUCUGCCUGCAGAACCGGGCAGGGCGAGUCCGGGCAUCAGGGGGGCAGCGGGGAGUGGGGGAGGGGCUGAGACCGCAGGACAGGUUGGGGCAGAAGGCCCAGGGUCACUCCUAAGCAGUCAGUGGUCUGGGGACCGUUUGACUGCAGCUCCAUUGGGGUAGUCCCAACCCCGCCCCUCGCAAGCCCCCCCCACAUCUGGGACCACCCACUGAGCUGAUGGACUUCCACCCCCCCCCCCCAGGGAAUUCCCAACUCCUAGACCAGCUGGGAUCCUUUCUGUCUGUAUCUCCCUCCUCCCAGGACAAGGACCUCACUGCUGACUCCUUGGGGCCUUCAGUCCUUGGCACCUGCUGGGGACGACCCCCCGGUCUUCCAGGGACUCGGGUGCUCCUCGAACACCCGACCCCCAUUUCCCAGGCCACGAGACGGUCUUCUUCAUUCCUGGCAGGGACGGAAAUCUUGAACGCUGGGGCUUUCCAGACCUGUAUUUGAAAACCAGAGCUUGCACCUAAGUGACAUUUGGACACGUCUACCUCCCGGGACAGAGAUUUCCUGUCUAUUCUGUGGAGACGAUGCGACCUCGCCGCCCCCCCCCCCCGGGACAGACACAUGGACAGACGCGCCCGACCCCAGGGACACACACCCUCCUGCUUCACCUGUUGCCUUGGCCACGACCUUGCCCUGUCCUUGACACGGGGAACAGCUGUGGCCUGAACAUCGGUGGCUCAGCACGGAGCCGGUGCCAACAGCGGCCCUCGGAGGGAACAAGUGUCCCCUCCCGCCCCCAGGAGCAAAAGGACGCAAAUACCAUGGGCAUGAGACCCUCGCCAGACCCGAGCAGCCCGCAGGUGCCAGGCUUCGGCUACAAACUACCCUGUUCUGAUGAAGGCAGGGAAAACCUCCAGAAGGGAAAAGAGCGUUCAUUUUCGAGGUGGCGUUUUAGGGCAAAGCUCUGUGGAGCCGUCCCGGCCUCUUCAUGAUUUUGCCAAAAAGGAGGGCUGUUUUGGUCCGCCCUAAAGCACGCGCGGGGCAUCCUCUCACCGGAUACCUAUUCCGCUCCAGGGAGAAUGAAUCUCUUCCUUUCUAGAACAAUACAAAGGUGGGUAAUUAGUGUGUAGUCAUUAAUGGGUACUUUUAGAGGCGUUGAGCAGAGUUCAUAACAUCAUCCUGAAUAAAUCUGCAUUUAACUGAA